Molecule: ribosomal RNA, 301 nt
Filed under: uncultured bacterium
Lineage: Bacteria
Description: partial 16S ribosomal RNA
Rfam family: Bacterial small subunit ribosomal RNA
Source: RNAcentral
CAGUAGCCGCGGGAAUACAGAGGGUGCGAGCGUUAAUCGGAUUUACUGGGCGUAAAGCGUGCGUAGGCGGCUUUUUAAGUCGGAUGUGAAAUCCCUGAGCUUAACUUAGGAAUUGCAUUCGAUACUGGGAAGCUAGAGUAUGGGAGAGGAUGGUAGAAUUCCAGGUGUAGCGGUGAAAUGCGUAGAGAUCUGGAGGAAUACCGAUGGCGAAGGCAGCCAUCUGGCCUAAUACUGACGCUGAGGUACAAAAGCAUGGGGAGCAAACAGGAUUAGAUACCCCCGUAGUCCCUGUCUCUUAUAC